RNAcentral lists this ribosomal RNA (301 nucleotides) under uncultured bacterium. RNAcentral's name for it is "partial 16S ribosomal RNA". It matches the Rfam family "Bacterial small subunit ribosomal RNA", at positions 509 to 807 of the family's 1533-position model. The record is from RNAcentral.
CAGUAGCCACGGGAAUACGUAGGGUGCAAGCGUUAAUCGGAAUUACUGGGCGUAAAGCGUGCGCAGGCGGUUUGUUAAGACAGAUGUGAAAUCCCCGGGCUUAACCUGGGAACUGCAUUUGUGACUGGCAAGCUAGAGUAUGGCAGAGGGGGGUGGAAUUCCGCGUGUAGCAGUGAAAUGCGUAGAUAUGCGGAGGAACACCGAUGGCGAAGGCAGCCCCCUGGGCCAAUACUGACGCUCAUGCACGAAAGCGUGGGGAGCAAACAGGAUUAGAUACCCCCGUAGUCCCUGUCUCUUAUAC